UCAACUUUUUUCCCAAUUUUAGUAAUAUAUGAUAAGAUGAUUGAUAAUUAGAAAUUGUGGCAACUUAGUUUCUUGCUUCAAUGAGAAGCUGGCAAGUUUCUUGCUUAAGUGAGAAACUAAAUGCAUUGCAGUCUUGUAGCUGUUGCAAUUUACUUAUGAUCCACCUUAACAUUGGAAUUAUUGUUUCCCUCUUGGUGUCUAUAGAUGGUUUUCAACACGGUAUUUUACUAGGGAUUCGUGUUAAGCUUGAUAGCAUAUGUAUGUGUCUGUUCAAGAAUCGUCACUACGGUUUCCUCUCUUGAUUAAUCACCCAUUGCAAGGUAAUAUUCUUUUAACUAUUUGCUUUUUGUUUGUGAGGUCGUUUGUGGAUGCUGCAAGUUAGUGUUUACCAAAUUAGUCUGUUCAUGUAACUUCCUGUGUCGAAAAAUGUUAUAGCUGUGAGAUGCAACACUGGAUGUAGGAGCUCCCUUAUACUAUGUGACUUACCAUGGGAAUGCAACAAGUAAUUUAACAAACUCUAGUUUAAGGUAAAUCUGCUCUUGUCAUUUGGUCUUUAAAGGUCAAUUGAAAAGCAUUGGAACUUUUUUUCUCAAGUUCCUCAGGAAGGUAUAUAGAUGUCGUUCUCAAAUUGUAACAUUUUGAUGAUUCUUUAGCUGAAGUGGUUAGUGAAGUUGUUUCUUUCUUUUCUUUGCUUUCGCUGGGAAGCACAUUCAUGUUGAUAUAUGUUUCAAACAAUAAUUAAUGGGGAUUAGAAAAUAUUAUGAUACCAUAUGUCAGGCUACUCUAAGCAGUGUCUGUAUGGUCGUUUAUUCUAGAAAUUAAUAAGUUGUGUUUCAUACUAGAGAGGGUCAUAGAAAGAGGUUAGAUUUCAUCAUCACAUGAUACUUGGCAUUUUUAUUUGAGCAUGUUACUUAUGAUGUCCUUUUAGUCUCUUUUUCUGAUGCAUUACUAGAGUUCUACACAAGUAAGAUUUUCAGGUCUAAUUCAUCAAAAUAGCUUAUUUUUGGUUGAUCCUUAUAUGAGGAGCAUGUCUAAUACAUCACAUGAUGUCUUACAAAAGAAGAAAAACAUUUGCAUCUUUGUGAAUAUCCAUGGAAAUCAUCAUGACUGGCUUUCUCCAAAGGUAGUUCUGUCUUGUCCCUAGGAUUGAACUACAUGUGGGAGAUCGAUGUAUUAGUGUUGGUGUGGCUUGGUCAACACACUCUACACAUUUCUGAAUUGAGCUCAACUUCACACCACACAUUUUUGAAUUGUUCUUGACAGGCGGAAUUUCAUAAACUUGAUUUGGUAGCUUUACAUUUUUAUGUUUCAAGGUAAUUACUCAUCCUUAUGUUCUCUUGUAUCUCUGCAGUACCAAGGUACUAAGUCCAAUAAUAAUAUUAGCUCAAGCUAUCAAAGUUACUCAUCAUCAUAUGCAUUUUCUUGCAAUUAUAAUGAUCUUUUCGGAAUCAACAUGUGGUGGAUGUGUAGGAGUACUUCAGUACAAAAUAGUGUACUCACCUUGCUGACUGACCAUGGCAUGUUGGGGUAAUAAACUUGAUGAGGUGACUGUGAAUUAUGAAUAUUUUCGAGAUUCUCCUCCAUUGGAAACUUACCUCUUGAGGUUGUUGCAAGGUUGAGUUUUACAGGUGACUGAAUUAUGAAUAUUAGCCAUUGAUUGCUAGAUUCUCUUUCAGGUGACCUCGUGUUAAAUCCCCGUGUUUCUCAUGCUUCAGAGUAAGUUUUGCGGUCACUUGUAUAAAGAUUGAGAUGGGAAGGAGGUCAAAAGAUAAUCAUAUCGAAACUGCAGCAGCAUUAAAUACAUGAACUAUAACUAACUUAAGUUAAACUGUUAUCUCCAACGUCAGGAGAUUUAGUCAGAGUGUAAUAAAACAGUAAUAUGAGAAGGAGAUGAGUUAAAUAUUAAUAUCAUCAUGUAUUACUAAAAAUGGAAGAAAUAAAGUUAAAAGUUGAAUUAUCAUUUUUUGGUUGAUGCUUCUACUGAUUAUUGAGAUCUUCAAUUCAAUUUUCUUGCCUAAUCAGAAUGGUGUCCUUCUCUGUUGUCAAAUUCCUUCACUGGUGUUUAUUUUGUUACCAUGUUUGUUUUUUAAUAAUCCAGAUGUUUAUGUUCAUUGGUGAUUCAACUUAUACUGAUGAGAUCUCCAUGGCUAUCGACAAUUCAUGAUAAGUGUAUUCAAACUCAAUUGUGGAUCUUUUGAUGUCCCGGCCACAUGGUGGUAGUAAGAGGAUAAGAUUUGGAAAUUUUGUAGUUUGGUUUCGAUGUGCAUCCUUGAGGACCAUGUUUGUUUCCAUUUUGGUGCUUACACUGCAAUUUGGAUAUUGGAUAUCAUCAGGCAUCAAGCAAAGGGCGCUUUGCCUUGUUUGGCAUCUCUAGUGAUCUCUCCUACGUGGUAUGGGUUCCCAUUACCUGUAACAUUCUUUUUGUGCAUGUAACUGUUUGGGUCUCCUAGAGCAUGAACUUCAAUGUAGUUCCUUCCUAAUCAGCGGGUCCCUUUUGUCUUUGUAAAACCUAGUGGAAGUGCUCAACAUGGAUAUUUUCCACUAGCGUAUGUUGUACUCUGUAGCCAUAAAGUUUUUAGUCUAGAUGAUUAUUUUCUUGGAUGAUCCAUAUGACGAGAUCGCUGAUUGUUAUGGACACCUGAGAAGUAUCCAAACUCAAUUUUAGAUUUUCUUAUGGACCUAAGAUCUCCUCCACUGUGGUGUUCUUGCUACUUAUAGUCUCUGCUUCUAUUUUCUUAUGUUUAUCAUGCCACUUGAUUUUGUUUGUUUGGAUGCAUGUUUGUAGACCACAUGGUGACCCGUGAGGGGAUCAAAUUUGGUAAUUUCGAAGUUCGGAUCAGAUUUUGUAGUUUCGAAGUUUGGUUUCAGUGUGUCCUCUCCUUUUGCACCCUGUUUCUUUGCCAUAUUGGUGCUUGCGCUUGCACUGCAAUGUGGAUAUCCCCAGGCACUGGCAAGGGAUUUAUGCAGUCUUGUCUGGCAUCUCAUCUUGUGAUCUCUCCUAUAUGGUAUGGGUUUUGCAGCUUGCGCUUUCACUGUUCCCUUCUUUUUGUGUCAGCUGUUGUUGGGUCUUAAAAUAUCCAUGAAGUCUUCCUUUCAUGGAGCAGCCUUGUUUGUCUUUGUGUUGAGGUUUCCAUAGUUCAGGCUUUGUAUUAGUAUCUAGCUCUUCGAUUCAGUCUUCUUCCCUGGUCAUAGAGAUUCCUUUGUCUCAUUAUCAAAAGUGUUUGUCUUUCCACAAGUGCAUUUUCAGUUUUGGGUCCAGAUGCUUUUGUUUUUUCAGAUCCAGGUCUCUUAUGGGUGUGGACAUCUGGUAAGUACUAACUCAUUUCUGGAUGUUUUCAUAGCCCCGUGAAGUGCUCAUCU
Molecule: long non-coding RNA, 3360 nt
Organism: Solanum tuberosum (potato)
Lineage: Eukaryota; Viridiplantae; Streptophyta; Magnoliopsida; Solanales; Solanaceae
Exons: 2
Source: RefSeq, a predicted model, not a curated record